Molecule: ribosomal RNA, 163 nt
Filed under: Phalaenopsis floresensis
Lineage: Eukaryota; Viridiplantae; Streptophyta; Magnoliopsida; Asparagales; Orchidaceae
Description: 5.8S ribosomal RNA
Rfam family: 5.8S ribosomal RNA
About the family: 5.8S ribosomal RNA (5.8S rRNA) is a component of the large subunit of the eukaryotic ribosome. It is transcribed by RNA polymerase I as part of the 45S precursor that also contains 18S and 28S rRNA.
Source: RNAcentral
ACACGACUCUCGACAAUGGAUAUCUCGGCUCUCGCAUCGAUGAAGAGCGCAGCGAAAUGCGAUACGUGGUGCGAAUUGCAGAAUCCCGCGAACCAUCGAGUCUUUGAACGCAAGUUGCGCCCGAGGCCAAUAGGUCGAGGGCACGUCCGCCUGGGCGUCAAGC